Molecule: ribosomal RNA, 497 nt
Filed under: uncultured bacterium
Lineage: Bacteria
Description: partial 16S ribosomal RNA
Rfam family: Bacterial small subunit ribosomal RNA
Source: RNAcentral
UUGAACGCUGGCGGCAGGCCUAACACAUGCGAGCCGAGCGGCAGCGCGGGGCAACCUGGCGGCGAGCGGCGGACGGGUGAGUAACGCGUAGGAAUCCACCCAGUAGCGGGGGUUAGCCCGGGGAAACUCGGAUUAAUACCGCAUACGCCCUAAGGGGGAAAGCAGGGGAUCUUCGGACCUUGCACUAUUGGCAGAGCCUGCGUUGGAUUAGCUAGUUGGUAGGGUAAAGGCCUACCAAGGCAACGAUCCAUAACUGGUCUGAGAAGAUGAUCAGUCACACCCGGACGGAGACACGGUCCGGACUCCUACGGGAGGCAGCAGUGAGGAAUAUUGGACAAUGGGGGCAACCCUGAUCCAGCCAUGCCGCGUGUGUGAAGAAGGCCUUCGGGUUGUAAAGCACUUUAAGUGGGGAGAAAGGUACGGCAGUUAAUACCUGCCGGAAGUGAUGUUACCCACAGAAUAAGCACCGGCUAACUCUGUGCCAGCCGCCGCAGUAA